Molecule: ribosomal RNA, 427 nt
Filed under: uncultured bacterium
Lineage: Bacteria
Description: partial 16S ribosomal RNA
Rfam family: Bacterial small subunit ribosomal RNA
Source: RNAcentral
UGGGGAAUAUUGCACAAUGGGCGCAAGCCUGAUGCAGCCAUGCCGCGUGUAUGAAGAAGGCCUUCGGGUUGUAAAGUACUUUCAGCGGGGAGGAAGGCGAUAAGGUUAAUAACCUUGUCGAUUGACGUUACCCGCAGAAGAAGCACCGGCUAACUCCGUGCCAGCAGCCGCGGUAAUACGGAGGGUGCCAGCGUUAAUCGGAAUUACUGGGCGUAAAGCGCACGCAGGCGGUCUGUCAAGUCGGAUGUGAAAUCCCCGGGCUCAACCUGGGAACUGCAUUCGAAACUGGCAGGCUAGAGUCUUGUAGAGGGGGGUAGAAUUCCAGGUGUAGCGGUGAAAUGCGUAGAGAUCUGGAGGAAUACCGGUGGCGAAGGCGGCCCCCUGGACAAAGACUGACGCUCAGGUGCGAAAGCGUGGGGAGCAAACA